GUCCCAUCAUAUCAGAUGUCUUAAAAAUGCACAAUUUUCAUAUUCAAAGAUUUUUUAGUUCCGGCUGUGUCGUUUAAGGAUGGAAAGCGCAACAUCCACUUCCACUCCUUUUCAGAUCUUCGUUCGCCAUUCUUUUUAUAAAACACAGCAAUACAAACUCAGAUGUGACGAGUGCAGAGACGGGUUUCAUGUGCGAUGUGUAACCAUCACUCCUAACGAGGCUGAGCAAAUGGACGCCCUCAUCCGUAUGGUGAUUGGGCAGCUGGAUUCAUACAGAUUUAUACGCAAAUUAAUGCGGUGGGAGGUCCUUAUGACUAUUUCUCUGUCGCCAAAUCACAUCGACCAAUCUAGGGUAUAUAUUAAAAAUUUAAUUUUGGUAUUUACAAUUAACUUAUGACUAUCAGUCGUGGAAGUCAUGAAUGCUGCUUUUCAAAUAGAAACAACAUAUCUUUAAUUUACAAAAUGCAGCCAACCAUCAAUCUGUAAGAUUUAUGACCGCUUCUGUAGCCAUUUUUGUAAGAAUUUUUCAAGCUUCAAUUGUAAUAAAACUACAGAUAUAAUGAAUAAUAGAGAUAGGGCAUUUAGUACAUAUACCAA
RNAcentral lists this long non-coding RNA (597 nucleotides) under Mytilus galloprovincialis (Mediterranean mussel). Lineage: Eukaryota; Metazoa; Mollusca; Bivalvia; Mytilida; Mytilidae. The record is from RNAcentral.